CCUACGGGAGGAGGAAGGGGCGAAAACUUGAAACGGGGGGAAAAAGAGAGAAGGGAAGAGGGAGGGAAAGGUUACAAAGAUGGCUGUCGAGAUGCAUAAAAAGCAUUUCAGAGCAAGGGCCGGGCAAGACCGGUGCCAGCCGCCGCGGUAACACCGGCGGCUCGAGUGGUGGCCACUAUUACUGGGCUUAAAGCGUUCGUAGCUGGCCUGUUAAGUCUCUGGGGAAAUCUUCCGGCUUAACCGGAAGGCGUCUCAGGGAUACUGGCAGGCUAGGGACCGGAAGAGGUGAGAGGUACUCCAGGGGUAGGAGUGAACUCCUGUAAUCCUUGGGGGACCACCUGUGGCGAAGGCGCCUCACCAGAACGGCUCCGACAGUGAGGGACGAAAGCUGGGGGAGCAAACC
RNAcentral lists this ribosomal RNA (403 nucleotides) under uncultured prokaryote. Its description in RNAcentral is "bacterial SSU rRNA". It matches the Rfam family "Archaeal small subunit ribosomal RNA", at positions 322 to 725 of the family's 1478-position model. The record is from RNAcentral.